Molecule: ribosomal RNA, 857 nt
Filed under: Solenaia carinata
Lineage: Eukaryota; Metazoa; Mollusca; Bivalvia; Unionida; Unionidae
Description: small ribosomal RNA subunit RNA
Source: RNAcentral
GAACACUUCGCUCUGAUGUAAGAUUAAUUAUUACUAGCAAACUUCAUAUGGUAACACACAUGCCUUGCGAAUCGUACUACUAUGCAGCACACUGUUAAAUACAAACUUCUGCAUACAAAACAUUAGGCCAUACCCUAUAACCUACAGGCUUUGCCCGCAACACCAAUGAGCUAUAUUGUGAUAAGCCAGGAAACUGGGCCACAAGCAAAGUAAACCAAGAGUGACUAAAAAUGGUGCCAGCAGCCGCGGUUAUACCACAACUCAAAAUUAAUCCGCACACAAUAGAAACACCAACCAAAUAUAGAUUGCAAUCUUACAAGUAAAGGUGAAAUUUAAUCCUGACCAAAUACACCCUAACCAAUCAUUCUAAUACGUGCUUCAACAAACCACAAUAAAAAACAUGGAUUAGAUACCCAUUUAUUAAGUGGCCCAACACAUCAAACUCUAAAAACGAAAGUUCCAAACUUAAAAAGCGUGGCGGUAUUUUACACCUCAUUAGGGGAUCCUGUGGCUUAAUUCGAUAAUCCACGAACACUCAAGCUUUGUUAGCUCACAGCUUAUGUAUGGCCGUUCUAAGUCUGCAUUCUAAUAUCAAAAGAGCAAACAUUCAAAGGAAUCAAACCUUAACAGCACAGGUGACAUAUAGCCAACACAAAGCAGCUCAAUGGGAUACAAAUGAAUAACAAUCACCCGAAGAAGAAAGAAAACCCUUCGAAAGGAGAACUUAAAAGUAAGGUUCGCAACAUUAUUACAACCUGAAUAAGAACUAAAAUGCGCACAAAUCGCCCGUCACUCCCGGUAAUUAAAUCGGGACAAGUCGUAACAUAGUAGAGGUAACGGAAGUUGUCCCUAUACAA